This 254-nucleotide ribosomal RNA is filed under the name uncultured bacterium. RNAcentral's name for it is "partial 16S ribosomal RNA". It matches the Rfam family "Bacterial small subunit ribosomal RNA", at positions 524 to 776 of the family's 1533-position model. The record is from RNAcentral.
UACGGAGGGGGCUAGCGUUGUUCGGAAUUACUGGGCGUAAAGGGCGCGUAGGCGGCGCGAUAAGUUGGGCGUGAAAGGCCCGGGCUCAACCCGGGGACUGCGCUUGAUACUGUCGCGCUGUGAGUCCGGGAGAGGAUGGCGGAAUUCCCAGUGUAGAGGUGAAAUUCGUAGAUAUUGGGAAGAACACCAGUGGCGAAGGCGGCCAACUGGUCCGAUACUGACGCUGAGGCGCGAAAGCGUGGGGAGCAAACAGG